RNAcentral lists this ribosomal RNA (490 nucleotides) under uncultured bacterium. Its description in RNAcentral is "partial 16S ribosomal RNA". It matches the Rfam family "Bacterial small subunit ribosomal RNA", at positions 30 to 507 of the family's 1533-position model. The record is from RNAcentral.
AUUGAACGCUGGCGGCAGGCCUAACACAUGCAAGUCGAACGGUAACAGGAAGCAGCUUGCUGCUUUGCUGACGAGUGGCGGACGGGUGAGUAAUGUCUGGGAAACUGCCUGAUGGAGGGGGAUAACUACUGGAAACGGUAGCUAAUACCGCAUAACGUCGCAAGACCAAAGAGGGGUACCUUCGUGCCUCUUGCCAUCGGAUGUGCCCAGAUGGGAUUAGCUAGUAGGGGGGGUAACGGCUCACCUAGGCGACGAUCCCUAGCUGGUCUGAGAGGAUGACCAGCCACACUGGAACUGAGACACGGUCCAGACUCCUACGGGAGGCAGCAGUGGGGAAUAUUGCACAAUGGGCGCAAGCCUGAUGCAGCCAUGCCGCGUGUAUGAAGAAGGCCUUCGGGUCGUAAAGUACUUUCAGCGGGGAGGAAGGGAGUAAAGUUAAUACCUUUGCUCAUUGACGUUACCCGCAGAAGAAGCACCGGCUAACUACGUG